GUGCUCACUUUGGCAGCACAUAUACUAAAAUUGGAAUGAUACAGAGAAGAUUAGCAUGGCCCCUGCACAAGGAUGACACACAAAUGCAUGAAGCGUUCCAUUUUUUU
Molecule: small nuclear RNA, 107 nt
Filed under: Physeter macrocephalus (sperm whale)
Lineage: Eukaryota; Metazoa; Chordata; Mammalia; Artiodactyla; Physeteridae
Source: RNAcentral